AGCUUUGCACAGUGGCAGUAUCAUAGCCAAUGAGGUUUAUCCAAGGUGCGAUUAUUGCUAAUUGAAAAGAAGGAAAUUAUAGUGGACCUCUUGGUAAUAGAAGUAACAGAUUUCUGAAUAUGGCAAAAAGUUUUAAAAAUCCUACUACGGACAUUUUUGUAAAAGAAUCUUAUCC
Non-coding RNA from Canis lupus familiaris (dog), 175 nucleotides. The record is from Rfam. NCBI's taxonomy places the organism in Eukaryota, Metazoa, Chordata, Mammalia, Carnivora, Canidae.